UGCUGGUCUUUCCCGUGCUAUUCUCGUGAUAGUGAAUAAGUCUCAUGAGAUCUGAUGGGUUUAUCAGGGGUUUCCGCUUUUGCUUCUCUCCUCAUUUUCUCCUGGCGCCGCCAUGUAAGAAGUGCCUUUUGCCUCCCGCCAUGAUUCGGAGGCCUCCCCAGCCAUGUGGAACUAUAUUUUCUAAAAGUAAAGACUUUAAAGAAAGGCACAGGAGGCUGGGAGCAGUGGCUUACAUUUGUAAUCCCAGCACUUUGCGGGGCUGAGGCCGGAGGACUGCUUGAGUCCAGGAGUUUGAGACCAGCCUGGGCAACACACAGGCUUGACUGUGCAUGACUGGAGACAGUGCGAGGUCGCCGAGUCCAUAAGCAGCAAGAAGGGCACACAGAAGGAGAAAGGAGAAGCUUGCUGCCGGAGGAGACAAACUGGACUUUACAGUGUUCUCCGGGGUGGGACCUGACUUUGACCUCAUGUAUACAGAUGGGCCUGACUGAGCUCAUCCAUGCUUAUGUCCGGGUGCUUAAGUCUUAUGGUAAUGUAUUUUUUUUUCAAUUGCCAUUGAAAGAUGUGAGAAAUGAAACAUGAAAAUAUUUAAUAAUUCAGCAUUUCCAAGUGUCUAGACUACUGAACAUAUUAUCCAAGAAAUUAUUUAGAAGAAAGGGAAAGGAAAUAGGCAAGAGAUUUUAUGAGUACUGACUAUGAAUCAGUUGUUUUCAGAGUUGUAUUUCUCACAGAAUAGAUACUAUUUUCCCUGUUUCACAGAUGACAAAUGUGAGGGUCAGAUAGAUUAGGAAACGUGCCCAAAGUUUCACAGCUAGUCAAUGAGAGAAAGCAUUUUCCAAGCCAGGUUCACUUGGCUGCAAAGCACUUACUCUUUCUGAUAUACAGCAUGCUGCCUAGAUGUUUUAGCACAUUUGGAUUACAAAAAUGUUAGAAAUAAAAUUAUGUUUGUGAAAGGAUGGGCAUUUAAAAAGCUCUGGGUUAUGGUUGUCUGUGGUUGAAAUUAUAAAAUGAUAGUUCCCCCCACACACAUACAGCAUACACACACACACACACACAGACACACACAUACACACACACAAAUGUGGGUUAUUAUGGCUGAGUCAUUGAAUUUAUUUGGAAGAACCAUCUUCUUUUGCAUGACAGAAUACAGAUGGCCAUAAACUAUUUACCCAGACAUUUUGGGGUUGAGGGAUGUAAUCAUCAUUUGAAACAAAAAUACAACUCUAGAAAUACAUAUGAAAGUGAAUUACUUUGUUAAUGUGAAAGGGAAAAGGGGGAAAAUGAAUAAAACAGCAAGAAUACAACUGAAAGGAGACUAAAAGGAACAAGGGCAAACUGUCUUUGAGCACAAGGCAUAUGCGUAUGCUACACAGAGCGUUGUUCUAGAAAUGUUUAUAAACAAUGGAUGUUUGUGGAAUGAAAAACUGAAUAGCUGUGAUAUUAAGGCUUUCCACUCCUGGGAAAAAUAUGGACACCAUGGCUUAUAAGUUAUUUGAUUCUGACAAGCAUCUUCCUACCUCCUCUAACAUUUGGUUAUAUUAACUAUAUUGGAGGCUUUUCCUUUUGUUACUCUGUGUUUCUGCCAUCUGAAAACAAUGAGCUUAAACAGCUAUCAUGCUGUCAUUUUGCCCUGUGAAUAGACUCGUUAAUAUAGAAACCUAAUGAAAUGAUUGUUUUAAAAAAAGAAAAAAAAUCCCAUUCUAUACGUGUUUUACUUCUUAAAAUGUCCCUAAAUUACAAAGAUUCUCUGAAAAGAUAAAAAAUAUCUCACAUAUUCAGAGGAUGACUUUAGCCCAUUGUUUCAGGGCUUUUUCAUGCCUUAUCUCCUUUUAAAAACCAUAACAGGCUGUGAAAAACAAAAUAAAUUAAGGAGAAUAGUUCCUUCCUUUUUAUGAUAAAUCUGCAUGUGGCGGUGACGGUCAAGUACAAACUGUAAAUAAGUGAAAUAACUCAUAACUAGUAAUAUACAGGUUAAUCAACUAUGAUUAAAAGUAAAUAGGUUUUUCACCAAGAACAAUAUCUUUAACUCAAAAUUAAAUAAUUGGCAGCAUGCUAGGUAAAUUAUAAAAUAAGGAAUUUCUAAAAGCAGAGAAUGAUGUUCUUUCUCCGUUGUCAAUCUGAUGAGUCUUGGUGACCUUUUGUUCACAUUAAUGCUGACAAACUGCAUCAUGCAUGACCGUCCCAACCCCCUUCUCCUCCCAAUAGUUCCUUCUUUGAUUCUAAUCUGUAUUCAAGGGUGUGGGGUGGGACACUUUAGUAAGGGGUGGGGGCGAGGGGAUGGCAAUGGUAGACGCUGGUCGGGGCUGUCAAUAACCUUGGAGGCCUUUGGGAAGAGCAGAGGACAAUAAUUUAUUGCAGUAUAGGAGAGACAGCUAGGAAGUAAUUCCUCCGUGUUACCUUUAUAAUUUGAGAAGGCGUCCAAAGAAAUAACACAUCAGAGUUCAGUGCUAUGAAGGAAAAAGCACUGGACAAGUUAUUUGGAUGGGUAUUCUUGGUUUUCUUGGUUACAAUUUAAGGCAAAUAUGAAACUCAAAAAGGUACCUUGGGACCAUCGUGUUCUUGGGAAGUUGACACAAGAACCACAACAGUUUAGAGAAACCCCUAAAUAUCCAUCUUAGAAAAAAAAAGUACACAUUUUUAGUUCUUAGGAGAAAGAGCAAUAGAUUUAUUUGAAUGAAAUAAUUAAUGAGUCAUGGUCCCCCAGACCUUUUUCAGGCAUGAAGCUAGCACUGAAUACUUUGUGCUUUCAAAGUUUCAAAUGACCUUCAGUUAAACUUUUAUAACAAGGUUCCUUUAAAACACAUUUAUGCUUUGCUAUUAACACUACUACCAAUAAUACAGUAAUUACUAAUAGUGGGUAGUAAUGGCAUUACAUAUGAAUCUCAGAAUUAAAAUUAGCUGUUCAUCUCCAUCCUUCCCAACAGCCUGAGAGUGUGUCAAGACAUGGGACCACACAGAAUCUUACUGUUUGUAUUUUCAACGUCUUGCGUACAGUGACAAUAAAUGAAUGAGAGUUUUAAAAAACUGUAUAUAAAGACUAUUGAGUCCUAUUACAAACACAUUGUUUACACACAUAUAAAUCUGUGCUAUGACACUAGGUAUAAGCAUACAGAGGACACCUAACUUCACUUGAAGUCUAAGUAAACACAAAACAUGGCCUACAGUGAUUUCCCUGAGUUGGAGAACCAUACACAUGUCUGGUUGUCCUUUGGACAAGCUGGUAACAUGAAAAAGAGGCAAGACCAAUGUAAACACUGAUAUAUUCAUGAUAAUGCAAAAACAUUAAGA
Molecule: long non-coding RNA, 3288 nt
Filed under: Homo sapiens (human)
Lineage: Eukaryota; Metazoa; Chordata; Mammalia; Primates; Hominidae
Description: HSALNT0333000
Source: RNAcentral